RNAcentral lists this ribosomal RNA (480 nucleotides) under Aulodrilus acutus. RNAcentral's name for it is "partial 16S ribosomal RNA". It matches the Rfam family "Bacterial large subunit ribosomal RNA", at positions 1829 to 2597 of the family's 2925-position model. Lineage: Eukaryota; Metazoa; Annelida; Clitellata; Tubificida; Naididae. The record is from RNAcentral.
UGCCACUUGUACAAAAUAAGUGGUACGUCCUGCCCAGUGAAUUUUCAACGGCCGCGGUAUCCUAACCGUGCAAAGGUAGCAUAAUCACUUGCCUAUUAAUUGUAGGCUAGAAUGAAAGGAUAAACGAGAAUAUAGCUGUCUCUACUAGAUCAGUAAAAAUUAAUUUUUGAGUGAAGAAGCUCAAAUACACCCGCAGGACAAGAAGACCCUAUAGAGCUUUACUCUAAACUACACCUAAAGCUAGUUAACAGUUCGGUUGGGGCGACCAGGGGACCAUAAAACACCCCUAAUACAUAAGACCUACAAGUCUUCCAAAAGAUCCUAACUUUAGAUCAACGAAUCAAGCUACCUUAGGGAUAACAGGCUAAUUUCCCUUGAGAGCCCUUAUCGACAGGGAAGUUUGGCACCUCGAUGUUGGCUUAGGGUCUCCUCAUGACGCAGGAGUCAUGACCAGAUGGUUUGUUCAACCAUUAAAUCCCU